AUUGAACGCUGGCGGCAUGCCUUACACAUGCAAGUCGAACGGCAGCAUGGAGAGCUUGCUCUCUGAUGGCGAGUGGCGAACGGGUGAGUAAUGCAUCGGAACGUACCGUGUAAUGGGGGAUAACGUAGCGAAAGUUACGCUAAUACCGCAUACGACCUGAGGGUGAAAGCAGGGGAUCGCAAGACCUUGCGUUAUACGAGCGGCCGAUGUCAGAUUAGCUAGUUGGUGAGGUAAAGGCUCACCAAGGCGACGCUCGGUAGCGGGUCUGAGAGGAUGAUCCUCCACACUGGGACUGAGACACGGCCCAGACUCCUACGGGAGGCAGCAGUGGGGAAUUUUGGACAAUGGGGGCAACCCUGAUCCAGCCAUGCCGCGUGAGUGAAGAAGGCCUUCGGGUUGUAAAGCUCUUUCGGCCGGGAAGAAAUCGCACAGGCUAAUACUCUGUGUGGAUGACGGUACCGGCAUAAGAAGCACCGGCUAACUACGUGCCAGCAGCCGCCGUAA
Molecule: ribosomal RNA, 504 nt
Filed under: uncultured bacterium
Lineage: Bacteria
Description: partial 16S ribosomal RNA
Rfam family: Bacterial small subunit ribosomal RNA
Source: RNAcentral